Molecule: long non-coding RNA, 1311 nt
Organism: Oreochromis aureus
Lineage: Eukaryota; Metazoa; Chordata; Actinopteri; Cichliformes; Cichlidae
Source: Ensembl
UAGAGUGCUUCAAUGAAAGGGGUUACAAAGCAAAAAAGCAACACAGGCACUGGUCUGCAGAAAUGUGGAAAAGUGAUACGUUCUGCGUCACUUCAGUAACCUUUGCCGCUCCUUUUGUAUCCUCUCCUCCUUCACUCUUUUCUUUCUUCUCCUCUUCACCCUCUGGCUCCUUCUUUACAGUUUCUUUUGCUGUUGCAUGCUCCCUCUCUUCCUCCUCUCCCUCUUCCUCCUCAUCAAGUUGAAGACUCCCCGAUGAAAACCUCAUCCUGGCUAGUCCAGCGGACCGUACCAUCUUGCCCACCUGAGGGGCAGGGCAGUAAUAUGGAUAGAAAACCUCCGGGUCUGAGUCACUGUAGCUUCCCGCAGUGCUGCCAAUCAUACAUAGUGAACUGGGGCGUUCAGGCAGAGGGGAAGAGUUUAGUGGGAGGUAGGUGGGUCUGGAGGGGCGCGUCAGGUGGGGGUAGUAACCAAGAGGGCGAAACUCAGAAGCAGGGUUAAAGGCAGUGUUUGAACUCCUCGAGAGGUGUAAUUUGACGUCAGGUUGGCUGGCUACACGGCGAGGCAGCCCAGGAAGGAAGUUGGAGUCAUCGCUGUAAUGACCUGCCUCUGUAUGUCCAACGCCCAUGAGUCUUGCACCAUUGCUUCCUGGUUGGUACAUUCUGGCCAAUCCCAGCCCACCUGAACCACUGGAGCGGAGGUUUCUCCUGAUUGGUGAACUAGAUGGCGAAUCGUGACGUACUGGGUAAAAAGAUGGCCGUGUUAUACCAUCCAUUGUCACAUAAUCCCGCCGUUUUGUAUGCGGAAUUCGUUCCAGUGAGGAAACGGCAACAAAUUCCGACAAGUAGGGAUGUCGGUUGAGUGGCGAGCAGCCAGCUAAUGGGAACGAUGGGAGGACAGGAUGAUACUGGUAGGCAGGGCUGUUAGGGUAGAGAAGGACCAGCUGCUGUCCUGCAUCUGGAUGUGGCUGGGGGUUGGGUCGACGUCUAGAUCGGUUUCCAUAGACACCAGCUAACCGCUGGGCUUGGCGCUGUGUCCCGAUUCGUACCCCCCUUGCGUCCUCUACUACAGAUAUCGAAGCAGAUCUCAUCUUCGGUGAGGGUGAAGGCGGUGUUGUCUGGUGGACAGAUGGAGAAAGAGGAGUGACUUGGGAGAGGAGGCGAGGCCUCUGGCUCACCUCAACACAUGAAUGGCUGCGUUUAGCCCCUCUUUCAUUGAUUUCAGUAUCGUUGUCUCGGUGAUGCGGGUCCAACUGAUCCUGGCUGUGUACCACCAGAGCACGACUUGACCGUGGGAAUGGGUGAGAUUGUUCAU